AUGCGGAACGGCAGCGGUGGUGGCCGGAGCUUGCAAGGGCUGGGGAGGCUGAUUCGAAGGCGGGCGGUGAGGCAGGGGAAUGGUGAGGAAGGCAGGAGCGAGGGAUCCGGUGACCUAGGCAGGAGCUCGCCGGAGCCGGGUAAUGGCCGACGGGCGCACGAGGCAGAGGGAUCCGAUGCGGCGGUUCGAAGUCCUUGCAGGCAAAUGCGGACCUCCAUGGCUGGCAGAGGGGGCUCCAAGGCCAUGGCGGGGAUUCGGUUUUCCUUGGUAUAG
Molecule: ribosomal RNA, 273 nt
Filed under: Triticum aestivum (bread wheat)
Lineage: Eukaryota; Viridiplantae; Streptophyta; Magnoliopsida; Poales; Poaceae
Description: partial small subunit ribosomal RNA
Source: RNAcentral